This 380-nucleotide ribosomal RNA is filed under the name uncultured eukaryote. Its description in RNAcentral is "partial 18S ribosomal RNA". It matches the Rfam family "Eukaryotic small subunit ribosomal RNA", at positions 592 to 976 of the family's 1831-position model. The record is from RNAcentral.
CAAUAGCGUAUAUUAAAAUUGUUGCAGUUAAAAAGCUCGUAGUUGGAUUUGUGGCGUACGGUGGGUUCCGGGCACUUGUUGUCUGAGUAACUUGCUGUUGCCAUCCUUGGGUGGAACCUGUGUGGCAUUAGGUUGUCGUGCAGGGGAUGCCCAUCAUUUACUGUGAAAAAAUUAGAGUGUUCAAAGCAGGCUUAUGCCGUUGAAUAUAUUAGCAUGGAAUAAUGAGAUAGGACUUUUUUGCUAUUUUGUUGGUUUGCGCAAAGAGGUAAUGAUUAAUAGGGACAGUUGGGGGUAUUCGUAUUCCAUUGUCAGAGGUGAAAUUCUUGGAUUUUUGGAAGACGAACUACUGCGAAAGCAUUUACCAAGGAUGUUUUCAUUAA